RNAcentral lists this ribosomal RNA (430 nucleotides) under Fusobacteriota bacterium. RNAcentral's name for it is "Fusobacteria bacterium partial 16S ribosomal RNA". It matches the Rfam family "Bacterial small subunit ribosomal RNA", at positions 355 to 777 of the family's 1533-position model. Lineage: Bacteria; Fusobacteriati; Fusobacteriota. The record is from RNAcentral.
UGGGGAAUAUUGCGCAAUGGGCGAAAGCCUGACGCAGCGACGCCGCGUGAGGGAUGAAGGUUUUCGGAUCGUAAACCUCUGUCAGAAGGGAAGAAACCGCACUGUGCUAAUCAGCAGUGCCUUGACGGUACCUUCAAAGGAAGCACCGGCUAACUCCGUGCCAGCAGCCGCGGUAAUCCGGAGGGUGCAAGCGUUAAUCGGAAUUACUGGGCGUAAAGCGCACGUAGGCUGCUUGGUAAGUCAGGGGUGAAAUCCCACGGCUCAACCGUGGAAGUGCCUUUGAUGCUGCGUAGGUUGAAUCCGGGAGAGGGGGGCGGAAUUCCAGGGGUAGAAGUGAAAUCCGUAGAUAUCUGGAGGAACAUCAGUGGCGAAGGCGGCCACCUGGAGCGGUAAUGACGCUGAGGUGCGAAAGCGUGGGGAGCAAACAGGA